Molecule: ribosomal RNA, 483 nt
Filed under: uncultured bacterium
Lineage: Bacteria
Description: partial 16S ribosomal RNA
Rfam family: Bacterial small subunit ribosomal RNA
Source: RNAcentral
GACGAACGCUGGCGGCGUGCUUAACACAUGCAAGUCGAACGCUGAAGCUCAGCUUUUGUUGGGUGGAUGAGUGGCGAACGGGGGAGUAACACGUGAGUAACCUGCCCCCUUCUUUGGGAUAACGCCCGGAAACGGGUGCUAAUACUGGAUAUUCACUGUUCUUCGCAUGGGGGUUGGUGGAAAGGGUUUUUCUGGUGGGGGAUGGGCUCGCGGCCUAUCAGCUUGUUGGUGGGGUGAUGGCCUACCAAGGCUUUGACGGGGAGCCGGCCUGAGAGGGUGACCGGUCACAUUGGGACUGAGAUACGGCCCAGACUAGUAAGGGAGGCAGCAGUGGGGAAUAUUGCACAAUGGGCGCAAGCCUGAUGCAGCGACGCCGCGUGAGGGAUGGAGGCCUUCGGGUUGUGAACCUCUUUAGCUCAUGGUCAAGCAGCAACAAUGGUUGUGGUGAGGGUAGUGGGUAAAGAAGCGCCGGCUAACUACGUG